GACGAACGCNGGCGGCGUGCUUAACACAUGCAAGUCGAACGAAGAGCGACGGAAGCUUGCUUCUAUCAAUCUUAGUGGCGAACGGGUGAGUAACGCGUAAUCAACCUGCCCUUCAGAGGGGGACAACAGUUGGAAACGACUGCUAAUACCGCAUACGAUCUAAUCUCGGCAUCGAGGAUAGAUGAAAGGUGGCCUCUACAUGUAAGCUAUCACUGAAGGAGGGGAUUGCGUCUGAUUAGCUAGUUGGAGGGGUAAUGGCCCACCAAGGCGAUGAUCAGUAGCCGGUCUGAGAGGAUGAACGGCCACAUUGGGACUGAGACACGGCCCAGACUCCUACGGGAGGCAGCAGUGGGGAAUCUUCCGCAAUGGACGAAAGUCUGACGGAGCAACGCCGCGUGAGUGAUGACGGCCUUCGGGUUGUAAAGCUCUGUUAAUCGGGACGAAAGGCCUUCUUGCGAAUAGUUAGGAGGAUGA
RNAcentral lists this ribosomal RNA (474 nucleotides) under uncultured bacterium. Its description in RNAcentral is "bacterial SSU rRNA". It matches the Rfam family "Bacterial small subunit ribosomal RNA", at positions 28 to 472 of the family's 1533-position model. The record is from RNAcentral.